Molecule: ribosomal RNA, 465 nt
Filed under: Microbacterium sp.
Lineage: Bacteria; Bacillati; Actinomycetota; Actinomycetes; Micrococcales; Microbacteriaceae
Description: bacterial SSU rRNA
Rfam family: Bacterial small subunit ribosomal RNA
Source: RNAcentral
AGCAACGCCGCGUGAGGGAUGACGGCCUUCGGGUUGUAAACCUCUUUUAGCAGGGAAGAAGCGAAAGUGACGGUACCUGCAGAAAAAGCGCCGGCUAACUACGUGCCAGCAGCCGCGGUAAUACGUAGGGCGCAAGCGUUAUCCGGAAUUAUUGGGCGUAAAGAGCUCGUAGGCGGUUUGUCGCGUCUGCUGUGAAAUCCCGAGGCUCAACCUCGGGCCUGCAGUGGGUACGGGCAGACUAGAGUGCGGUAGGGGAGAUUGGAAUUCCUGGUGUAGCGGUGGAAUGCGCAGAUAUCAGGAGGAACACCGAUGGCGAAGGCAGAUCUCUGGGCCGUAACUGACGCUGAGGAGCGAAAGGGUGGGGAGCAAACAGGCUUAGAUACCCUGGUAGUCCACCCCGUAAACGUUGGGAACUAGUUGUGGGGUCCAUUCCACGGAUUCCGUGACGCAGCUAACGCAUUAAGU